GGCGAUUCUUGGGUGAUGCACCCUGAAAUCGGGCUCCCUCCUCUCUGGUUCUAGGGUGGGUCACCACAGCUCGGCA
Myotis brandtii (Brandt's bat) is the source of this 76-nucleotide non-coding RNA. NCBI's taxonomy places the organism in Eukaryota, Metazoa, Chordata, Mammalia, Chiroptera, Vespertilionidae. The record is from Rfam.